This 327-nucleotide ribosomal RNA is filed under the name Triticum aestivum (bread wheat). RNAcentral describes it as "partial small subunit ribosomal RNA". The record is from RNAcentral. Lineage: Eukaryota; Viridiplantae; Streptophyta; Magnoliopsida; Poales; Poaceae.
AGUGUUGCUACUCUAACCUUCUUUUGUCAUCGGCCAACUGUCCUUGCAAUCAUGGAAUUUAUGGAUGCUAUCAAUCUUGCAAAUGACCCUGAUAGCGAUAAAGAUAGAAACACAGAUGAUAUUAAGUUUGAUAAUGUGGUUGAGGAGCCUAAAUCUGAUCUGGAGUCAGAACCUGUCAUAAAAAGGUUGAUGUCUAAAGGUAAAAGCAGAGUAGUUUUUCAUCUUACGUCAAGCAUGGCAGAGGCACAAGUAUUACUAAUGAAUGAAAAUGGUGAUCUACUUGCUACUUUGUCACAAAAUAACCUCUCAACUGAUAUCAAGGUAUGA